Molecule: ribosomal RNA, 253 nt
Filed under: uncultured bacterium
Lineage: Bacteria
Description: partial 16S ribosomal RNA
Rfam family: Bacterial small subunit ribosomal RNA
Source: RNAcentral
GACGAACCGUGCGAACGUUGUUCGGAAUCACUGGGCUUAAAGGGCGCGUAGGCGGGCUGUCGCGUCUGGGGUGAAAUCCUCCGGCUCAACCGGGGACGGGCCUCGGGUACGGACGGCCUCGAGGGGGGUAGGGGCGUGCGGAACUGUGGGUGGAGCGGUGAAAUGCGUUGAUAUCCACAGGAACUCCGGUGGCGAAGGCGGCACGCUGGACCCUCUCUGACGCUGAGGCGCGAAAGCCAGGGGAGCGAACGGG